RNAcentral lists this ribosomal RNA (100 nucleotides) under Priestia megaterium. Its description in RNAcentral is "partial 16S ribosomal RNA". It matches the Rfam family "Bacterial small subunit ribosomal RNA", at positions 1434 to 1533 of the family's 1533-position model. The record is from RNAcentral. Lineage: Bacteria; Bacillati; Bacillota; Bacilli; Caryophanales; Bacillaceae. RNAcentral also lists the same sequence under 3 other names.
AGUAACCGUAAGGAGCUAGCCGCCUAAGGUGGGACAGAUGAUUGGGGUGAAGUCGUAACAAGGUAGCCGUAUCGGAAGGUGCGGCUGGAUCACCUCCUUU